CGCGGCCUAUCAGCUUGUUGGUGGGGUAACGGCCCACCAAGGCAACGACGGGUAGCUGGUUUGAGAGAACGAUCAGCCACACUGGUACUGAGACACGGUCCAGACUUCUACGGGAGGCAGCAGUAGGGAAUCUUGCGCAAUGGGCGAAAGCCUGACGCAGCGACGCCGCGUGCGGGAUGACGGCCCUAGUGGUUGUAAACCGCUUUCAGCAGGGACGAAAAUGACGGUACCUGCAGAAGAAGUCCCGGCUAACUACGUGCCAGCAGCCGCGGUAAUACGUAGGGGACAAGCGUUGUCCGGAUUCAUUGGGCGUAAAGAGCUCGUAGGCGGUUCAGUAAGUUGGGUGUGAAAGCUCCGGGCUCAACCCGGAGAGGCCACUCAAUACUGCUGUGACCAGAGUCCAGUAGAGGAGCGUGGAACUCCUGGUGUAGCGGUGAAAUGCGCAGAUAUCAGGAAGAACACCGGCAGCGAAGGCGGCGCUCUGGGCUGGUACUGACGCUGAGGAGCGAAAGCAUGGGUAGCAAACAGGAUUAGAUACCCUGGUAGUCCAUGCCGUAAACGUUGGGCACUAGGUGUGGGGAGGAAUCAACCCUCUCUGUGCCGUAGCUAACGCAUUAAGUGCCCCGCCUGGGGAGUACGG
Molecule: ribosomal RNA, 640 nt
Filed under: uncultured Actinomycetes bacterium
Lineage: Bacteria; Bacillati; Actinomycetota; Actinomycetes
Description: bacterial SSU rRNA
Rfam family: Bacterial small subunit ribosomal RNA
Source: RNAcentral